AGAGUUUGAUCAUGGCUCAGAUUGAACGCUGGCGGCAGGCCUAACACAUGCAAGUCGAACGGUAACAGGAAGCAGCUUGCUGCUUCGCUGACGAGUGGCGGACGGGUGAGUAAUGUCUGGGAAACUGCCUGAUGGAGGGGGAUAACUACUGGAAACGGUGGCUAAUACCGCAUAACGUCGCAAGACCAAAGAGGGGGACCUUCGGGCCUCUUGCCAUCAGAUGUGCCCAGAUGGGAUUAGCUUGUUGGUGAGGUAACGGCUCACCAAGGCGACGAUCCCUAGCUGGUCUGAGAGGAUGACCAGCCACACUGGAACUGAGACACGGUCCAGACUCCUACGGGAGGCAGCAGUGGGGAAUAUUGCACAAUGGGCGCAAGCCUGAUGCAGCCAUGCCGCGUGUAUGAAGAAGGCCUUCGGGUUGUAAAGUACUUUCAGCGGGGAGGAAGGUGUUGUGGUUAAUAACCGCAGCAAUUGACGUUACCCGCAGAAGAAGCACCGGCUAACUCCGUGCCAGCAGCCGCGGUAAUACGGAGGGUGCAAGCGUUAAUCGGAAUUACUGGGCGUAAAGCGCACGCAGGCGGUCUGUCAAGUCGGAUGUGAAAUCCCCGGGCUCAACCUGGGAACUGCAUUCGAAACUGGCAGGCUUGAGUCUUGUAGAGGGGGGUAGAAUUCCAGGUGUAGCGGUGAAAUGCGUAGAGAUCUGGAGGAAUACCGGUGGCGAAGGCGGCCCCCUGGACAAAGACUGACGCUCAGGUGCGAAAGCGUGGGGAGCAAACAGGAUUAGAUACCCUGGUAGUCCACGCCGUAAACGAUGUCUACUUGGAGGUUGUGCCCUUGAGGCGUGGCUUCCGGAGCUAACGCGUUAAGUAGACCGCCUGGGGAGUACGGCCGCAAGGUUAAAACUCAAAUGAAUUGACGGGGGCCCGCACAAGCGGUGGAGCAUGUGGUUUAAUUCGAUGCAACGCGAAGAACCUUACCUGGUCUUGACAUCCACGGAAGUUUUCAGAGAUGAGAAUGUGCCUUCGGGAACCCGCGAAGAACCUUACCUGGUCUUGACAUCCACAGAACUUUCCAGAGAUGGACUGGUGCCUUCGGGAACUGUGAGACAGGUGCUGCAUGGCUGUCGU
RNAcentral lists this ribosomal RNA (1127 nucleotides) under Salmonella enterica subsp. enterica serovar Agona str. 14.E.05. RNAcentral describes it as "bacterial SSU rRNA". It matches the Rfam family "Bacterial small subunit ribosomal RNA", at positions 8 to 1055 of the family's 1533-position model. Lineage: Bacteria; Pseudomonadati; Pseudomonadota; Gammaproteobacteria; Enterobacterales; Enterobacteriaceae. The record is from RNAcentral.